Small nucleolar RNA from Physella acuta, 97 nucleotides. RefSeq annotates it as small nucleolar RNA SNORD14. NCBI's taxonomy places the organism in Eukaryota, Metazoa, Mollusca, Gastropoda, Physidae. The record is from RefSeq and is a predicted model, not a curated record.
UGGCUAUGAUGAAUAUUUUCCAACAUUCGCGGUUUCCACCAGAAGAACAGAUUGAGUUCUAGAGAUGGCAUUUGUCCUUCCUUGGAUGUCUGAGCCA